Molecule: ribosomal RNA, 430 nt
Filed under: Acinetobacter baumannii OIFC083
Lineage: Bacteria; Pseudomonadati; Pseudomonadota; Gammaproteobacteria; Moraxellales; Moraxellaceae
Description: bacterial SSU rRNA
Rfam family: Bacterial small subunit ribosomal RNA
Source: RNAcentral
CGGCAGGCUUAACACAUGCAAGUCGAGCGGGGGAAGGUAGCUUGCUACUGGACCUAGCGGCGGACGGGUGAGUAAUGCCUAGGAAUCUGCCUAUUAGUGGGGGACAACAUCUCGAAAGGGAUGCUAAUACCGCAUACGUCCUACGGGAGAAAGCAGGGGAUCUUCGGACCUUGCGCUAAUAGAUGAGCCUAAGUCGGAUUAGCUAGUUGGUGGGGUAAAGGCCUACCAAGGCGACGAUCUGUAGCGGGUCUGAGAGGAUGAUCCGCCACACUGGGACUGAGACACGGCCCAGACUCCUACGGGAGGCAGCAGUGGGGAAUAUUGGACAAUGGGGGGAACCCUGAUCCAGCCAUGCCGCGUGUGUGAAGAAGGCCUUAUGGUUGUAAAGCACUUUAAGCGAGGAGGAGGCUACUUUAGUUAAUACCUAGAG